AGCAUUUGAGUUUCAGAGGCCAUGAAUUGAUAAAUUGCAAGUUUGUGCCCCAUAGCUGCACAGACUGCCUGAAGUUACAUUUAGAGACUGAAAUCACUGCACCUUAAAAACAAAAGAUUGAGCUGCACUGUAUUCCUAAUGUUUCAUCAUUACUAACAGGAUAUUCCUCAUGACAUUGCUGUCUGGUUACAUACAGUGAACUAGACAAAUUAAGUGUAUACCUUGAUGAGUAUACAUGUGACAACACCCAACCCAAGGUACAGAAUAUUUAUAAUACCUAAGAAGAAUCCAUUGUAUGUGCCCCUUGAAGGUGAAAUUUUCCAAAGUUUUAACAAAAGAUCUUUGACCAUCAGUCUGUGACCUGCCCCUUCUCUUUACAUGCAGCCGCUCUCUGCUCCCUGCCCCAAUGAACAUCUGCACUAGGCCCAAGCCUUGGAGUAAUUUACCUGAAGAGUGACACCAUUGAUUUUGAAACUACUGUAAUGGGAUGGUGUUUUACAGACUUCUAUGUUACUGGAAAACGCUAAACCUGGGAGACUAACAUCCCUCUUAGGCUUCA
This 559-nucleotide small RNA is filed under the name Pan troglodytes (chimpanzee). RNAcentral's name for it is "processed transcript". The record is from RNAcentral. Lineage: Eukaryota; Metazoa; Chordata; Mammalia; Primates; Hominidae.